AUUGAACGCUGGGCGGCAUGCUUAACACAUGCAAGUCGAACGGCAGCACGAGGGGCUUGCUCCUUGGUGGCGAGUGGCGGACGGGUGAGUAAUGGCAUAGGAAUUUGCCUAGUAGUGGGGGACAACUCGAGGAAACUCGAGCUAAUACCGCAUAAGCCCUACGGGGGAAAGCGUGGGAUCUUCGGACCUCGCGCUAUUAGAUAAGCCUAUGUCCGAUUAGCUAGUUGUAGGGUAAAGGCCUACCAAGGCGACGAUCGGUAGCUGGUCUGAGAGGAUGAUCAGCCACACUUGGGACUGAGACACGGCCCAGGACUCCUGCGGGAGGCAGCAGUGGGGAAUAUUGGACAAUGGGCGAAAGCCUGAUCCAGCAAUGCCGCGUGUGUGA
This 385-nucleotide ribosomal RNA is filed under the name uncultured bacterium. RNAcentral's name for it is "bacterial SSU rRNA". It matches the Rfam family "Bacterial small subunit ribosomal RNA", at positions 30 to 408 of the family's 1533-position model. The record is from RNAcentral.